CUAGGGUCAGCAUAGCUUUGAUACCACUUCUGUCACACCCGGUUCUAGGAGGUAGAACCGAGCGUAUACCAUAUGUGUGCCAGGAUCCAUUUCCACACAUAUGUUGACGUCACAAGUGUAAUAUAUCAAAAGACAAUGCAAUAAAGGCGUAAAGAGAGUAUAAAACUUUAUUACAUCAUCUGAAACAUUGUGUCUUAAACAAGUAUCACAUCAAAGUUAAGCGGAAAUAAACAACUGGGCAAUCUUCCACAGGAAGUUGACCGGCGCAUCGUUAGACUUAGAAUUCCUCGUCGAUAAAUUCCCCAUCAAAGUCUCCAGCAUCACCCUCUGAUCAAAAUAUUAGCAAGGGUGAGCUCACUUAUGGUCGGGGCUCAGCAAGUGGGGGAAAAAUUAAUGCAGGUAUAACAAGGUGAGGCUAAGGUUGAGCAGUAAGCAUUUUAGUUGGUCAACAUUUUAUUAUCAACACAUGUCUUACUAAUAAGAGUGAAUCCCAAAUAUCCCAAUUAAACGAAGGAUUAUGAAUAUAACAAAAACACUUAAGUGAAACCACUUAAGUAAAUUAUUUGCAGAUCAUCGGAUCUCAAUUUAUGUCCAUCUUUAAGUUCAAUUAUCAUGUGAGGAGUCCAGGUCGCUCAUAACCGGGAGCACGGCUGAUAUAUCAGUUUUACACUCUGCAGAGGUGGUACAACUUUACCCACAAGCCAUGUAUCCCACCUAGCCCAGGUUGAUCGGACCCUUAGACACUGCCGAGGUGAAUGGCUAAGGAUCCAUUAUGAGGUUUUCACAAAAUACACUUAAUACGAAGCAACCCGCUAAGGUUUCUAAGACGAUGGUGGUGGCCCCCUGGGUGAAGUACCUUAGCCAAGAAUACGACCCCAUGUUAACGUGGGCUGCCAGCACCUACCGCUCCCCCUCUUGCCCAUUUUUCAGGUAAGGUUGCUAGGCACUAAGCAUAUAGAGCUAAUUACCAAAGCCAGAGCCAUGAUAGCACUCGUGGUUGCACUGUUAUCCUGGGUGGUCACUCCAUGUUCCAAUUAAAUUUAUAAUAAAGUUAUCUUAACCAUCGGGUUAAUGUCAUAAUUGCAAAUUAACAUUUUUGGAACAUUAAACCAAUUAAUGAGUGACAUUAAGAAAUCAUUAAGUUUAGCGGUAGCAUAAAUCUUGCACAGCUUAAUUAUUUCCCAGGUUAAACAAGGAAUACAGGUAGUAAAUCUAGGAAAUCCUUAGUUAGGUAAAACCCAUCAAAUUAUGCAAUAUAUCAAAGAGUAAACAUUAUUAUAUGCAAUGAAUAGGUACAAACAGAAUAUGCAGAGGGAGAAUCCACUUGCCUUGCUCAAAAGCGUCUUGCGGGUCGUCGUCGAACGAGUUCGGAUUCUCUACCACACAGUCCGCUUCUAUUAUAGUCGCACAUCGCACAUACAAAAAUAAAGUAUACACCCAUAAAUAAACAUGCACCAUUACAUAAUCAUACACCAUUACAUGCACAUUAACAUGUCGCACUAAUCACAUUUUAAUUACGUACUAAUCGCGUAAAUACUUAUUAAUUAAAUUAUAGCUAUUAAUGUGAAUCCUAAUGGUGAAUUUAGGAGUGGGUGCAAUAAAUAUAAUUUUAACUAAUAUUUAUUUUAACACCAUCAAUGAAAUUAAAUAACACUUAUUAUCUUUUAAUACUAAUAAAUAAAUUAAUACCUUUUAUUCCUUCUAACUCAAAUUAGUUAGUAUAGCAAAAAUGAAUUUAAUAAUAUUAAUAUUCUAAAAAUCUACAUAAACUACUAAUUGAACAUUUUCUAACACAAGCGAGGUUAUUUGACAUAAACUAGUACUCUAACAAUUUUAAGUUCUAAAUCUGUGAACAUGUUUAUUUGACUAGCAAAAACCUAUUUUGCCAUCUACUAAUGAUAUUUUCUCCUUUCUUUAAAAAAAUGCUAAUAAAAUAAUUAGAUAAAUCAUCUAAAAUCCUAUAUUAUUCAAAUGACAUGAGUUCUAUACCAUUUUCUAAUCCAUAAAAAAUGCACCUAUAAUUCUCCAAUUAGUUUCCAAAAUUUAUCGUGACCAAUUUUGACUAUAAAUUCUUAUCUAGUAUUUUUACCACCAACGUGUGACUAUUAAAUCUACGUCAUAUUUAUCUAAACCAACAUCAACGCGUCGAUUAACAUGAAAUAACACGGUGCACUACUAAUCGCAUAUUUCUAACAAAUUCCAUAGCGCACACAAAUACACAAAUCGGAAUCACAUGUGUUCAUAUUACGACAAACAAACUAUACAACACAUGAAUCGAAUCAAAAGCACUUUAUAAAAUACAUAAAAUAAAUUUGGGUCGUCAUCAACCUCGGGUUCGUGCGUGUGACGGGGAUGGAUCGACGGGUUUCGGCCGGACGGAGAGCGGGGCUCGACUACGGACAGCGAGUACGUGGCUCCGGCGACGAACGACACACUCCGGCGACGAACGGCACACUAACGAUGGCGUCGAACAGUGCACUGGCGAUGAGCGAGGAGUGCUAGAGAGAAAGGCAAACUCGAGUAGGCAGGAAUGGGGAGGCUCUGCUGUUCCCUUUUAUAGAGAGCAAGAGGGAGAAGAAAGGUCUGAUAGAGGGAGUAACGUGGUCUUCAAUGGCCACCACUGUGUCAGUUUCCAGAGAAUAACGAGGGAGAGAAUAAUGGAGAAGAAUAAAACGGUCGCAGUGAUUUUCAAUUAAUCGCAGGCAACGAACGGACGACGGGAGUCGUGGUCGGGCUCGGUCGGCGCGUGCGGCAUCGCGGCGUCGCGUGGCUCGGGCGUCGGCGUGCGCGGGAGGCAGCGCGGCUGGACCUACAGGCGCGGCGCUCCAGACCGGCCUCGCCUGCGCAGCAUCGCGCCGGUCGGCAGCGUGUCCUGGGCGGGCGCGGCGCGUCGGGCAGAGCAACGCGGCUCCUGCGCGCGCGGUGUGUGGCUCGCUCGGCGUGCGCGCGAGCGGCCGGAGCAGGGCGCGCUCGGCUGGCUGCUGGGUGGCGCGGUGCAGAGAGAACGGUGGGAGGAGAGAGUGAGUGGGAGAGAGAAGUGAGAGAGAGAGAAGUGAGGGAGAGAGAGUGGGAGUAGCAGAGGGAGGCGGCGGCUGG
RNAcentral lists this long non-coding RNA (3096 nucleotides) under Zea mays. RNAcentral's name for it is "long non-coding RNA (ZMAY_LNC001164)". The record is from RNAcentral. Lineage: Eukaryota; Viridiplantae; Streptophyta; Magnoliopsida; Poales; Poaceae.